This 25-nucleotide non-coding RNA is filed under the name Mus musculus (house mouse). Lineage: Eukaryota; Metazoa; Chordata; Mammalia; Rodentia; Muridae. The record is from RNAcentral.
GUAUUCCUCAGGUGAGAAUUCUUUG